RNAcentral lists this transfer RNA (74 nucleotides) under Planctomycetota bacterium. RNAcentral's name for it is "Planctomycetes bacterium (bioreactor metagenome) tRNA-Gln". It matches the Rfam family "tRNA". Rfam says of the family: Transfer RNA (tRNA) molecules are approximately 80 nucleotides in length. Their secondary structure includes four short double-helical elements and three loops (D, anti-codon, and T loops). The record is from RNAcentral. Lineage: Bacteria; Pseudomonadati; Planctomycetota.
UGCCCCGUGGUGUAACGGUAGCACAACAGGUUCUGGUCCUGUUUGUCGGGGUUCAAAUCCCUGCGGGGUAACCA